GACGAACGCUGGCGGCGUGCUUAACACAUGCAAGUCGAACGGCAAGGCCCUGCUUGCAGGGUAUUCGAGUGGCGAACGGGUGAGUAACACGUGGGUGAUCUGCCCUGUACUUUGGGAUAAGCCUUGGAAACUGGGUCUAUUACCGGAUAGGAGCCAUUUUUUGUGUGAUGGUUGGAAAGUUUUUUCGGGGUAGAAUGAGCUCGCGGCCUAUCGGCUUGUUGGUGGGGUAAUGGCCUACCAAUCCGACGACGGGUAGCCGGACUGAGAGGGUGGGCGGCGACAUUGAGACUGAGAUGCGGCCCAGGCUCCUACGAGAGGCAGAAGUGGGGAAUAUUGCACAAGGGGCGCAGGCCGGAUGCAGCGACGCCGCGGGUGGGAUGACGGCCUUGGGGUUAUAGACUCCUAGCGCUAGGAACGAAGCUUUUUGUGACGGUACCUAGAGAAGAAGCACCGGCUAACUACGUG
This 465-nucleotide ribosomal RNA is filed under the name uncultured bacterium. RNAcentral describes it as "partial 16S ribosomal RNA". It matches the Rfam family "Bacterial small subunit ribosomal RNA", at positions 28 to 507 of the family's 1533-position model. The record is from RNAcentral.